This 73-nucleotide transfer RNA is filed under the name Eleotris picta (spotted sleeper). RNAcentral's name for it is "tRNA-Asp". It matches the Rfam family "tRNA". Rfam says of the family: Transfer RNA (tRNA) molecules are approximately 80 nucleotides in length. Their secondary structure includes four short double-helical elements and three loops (D, anti-codon, and T loops). Lineage: Eukaryota; Metazoa; Chordata; Actinopteri; Gobiiformes; Eleotridae. The record is from RNAcentral.
AAGACACUAGUAUAAUAGGCCAAUACACUGCUUUGUCAGGGCAGAGCCGUGGGUUAAACCCCCGCGUGUCUUA